Long non-coding RNA from Peromyscus eremicus (cactus mouse), 697 nucleotides. RefSeq lists it as uncharacterized. The transcript is spliced from 2 exons. The record is from RefSeq and is a predicted model, not a curated record. Lineage: Eukaryota; Metazoa; Chordata; Mammalia; Rodentia; Cricetidae.
CUUAUACACCUGGGAGCAAAACUUUCUGUAUUCCCAGGAUGACUAAGGACAGUCAGAGACCAUCAGUUGCUUUCCCACAGGGUCAAGCUUGCUGCUGUAAUGCAAAUUAUAUUGGUAAGCUGCCAUAUGCUAUGACAACUUGUUGAAAGUGGACUCUUGGAUCAAGGGGCCCUUCCUUGUUUCCCAUAAGCCCUCCUGUCCUGGGCCAGGCUGUCCAGGAGAAGGAACACCAGCAAGCAGCUAAGGACAUUGACAACACUGAAUCCUUGAGACCAGCCAGAAGGGGGACCGUUUCCAGCAAGGUUUACCACGGUACAAAAAUGCCUAAAAAGAGAACGAGAAGCAGGAUGCUCAUCCAUGGAGAGAAAGCCCCGACAUGGGAACAACAGCCAGCCGCCUCAGCUUCCUCAGGCGAUUCCUGCUGGUUGCCUGCUAGAAGAUGCCCAUGCCCUCAGCAAUGCAUUCUGUGUUCCUCUGCCUUCAUCAAACUUAGAUGUGAAGUUUAAAAACUCAGGCCGAAGGCUAUGGGCAGCUGACAGAAGGAUCCAUGCCUGCGAGGCCAGCACAGGGUUUAAGGGCCUCUACUCAUUUAUAGAACGAUGGAAUCUGUCACCUAAGCAUGGUCCACUUUCUUUUCUAAUUAUCUAAUGAGAAACAAAAUAAUUCAUAACUAAAAAUAAAAACGAUUUCAAAGUUA